GGAGGUUACGGCUAUCGGUGUUCGCCUAACCCAUGCGGGUCAUAUGUUCUUCGUGAACAUGGCGUACUGCUCAGUAACACGUGAAUAACCUGCCCUUGGGACCGGCAUAACCCCGGGAAACUGGGGAUAAUUCCGGAUACCGCAUAUAUGCUGGAAUGCUUUAUGCGUGAAAUGGAUUCGUCUGCCCAAGGAUGGAUCUGCGGCCUAUCAGGUAGUAGUGGGUGUAAUGUACCUACUACCCUACAACGGGUACGGGUUGUGAAAGCAAAACCCCGGAAAUGGAUUCUGAAACAUGAAUCCAGGCCCUACGGGGCGCACCAC
This 321-nucleotide ribosomal RNA is filed under the name uncultured archaeon. RNAcentral describes it as "bacterial SSU rRNA". It matches the Rfam family "Archaeal small subunit ribosomal RNA", at positions 19 to 338 of the family's 1478-position model. The record is from RNAcentral.